GAUGAACGCUGGCGGCGUGCCUAAUACAUGCAAGUAGAACGCUGAAGGAGGAGCUUGCUCUUCUGGAUGAGUUGCGAACGGGUGAGUAACGCGUAGGUAACCUGCCUGGUAGCGGGGGAUAACUAUUGGAAACGAUAGCUAAUACCGCAUGACAACAGUUAUUGCAUGAUAACUGUUUAAAAGGGGCAACUGCUCCACUACCAGAUGGACCUGCGUUGUAUUAGCUAGUUGGUGAGGUAACGGCUCACCAAGGCGACGAUACAUAGCCGACCUGAGAGGGGGAUCGGCCACACAGGGACUGAGACACGGCCCAGACUCCGACGGGAGGCAGCAGUAGGGAAUCUUCGGCAAUGGACGGAAGUCUGACCGAGCAACGCCGCGUGAGUGAAGAAGGUUUUCGGAUCGUAAAGCUCUGUUGCAAGAGAAGAACGAGUGUGAGAGUGGAAAGUUCACACUGUGACGGUAUCUUACCAGAAAGGGACGGCUAACUACGUG
RNAcentral lists this ribosomal RNA (495 nucleotides) under uncultured bacterium. Its description in RNAcentral is "partial 16S ribosomal RNA". It matches the Rfam family "Bacterial small subunit ribosomal RNA", at positions 28 to 507 of the family's 1533-position model. The record is from RNAcentral.